UACGUAGGGUGCAAGCGUUGUCCGGAAUUAUUGGGCGUAAAGAGCUCGUAGGCGGUUUGUCGCGUCUGCUGUGAAAAUCCAGGGCUUAACCCUGGACCUGCAGUGGGUACGGGCAGACUAGAGUGCGGUAGGGGAGAUCGGAAUUCCUGGUGUAGCGGUGAAAUGCGCAGAUAUCAGGAGGAACACCGGUGGCGAAGGCGGAUCUCUGGGCCGUAACUGACGCUGAGGAGCGAAAGCAUGGGGAGCGAAC
RNAcentral lists this ribosomal RNA (250 nucleotides) under uncultured bacterium. RNAcentral's name for it is "partial 16S ribosomal RNA". It matches the Rfam family "Bacterial small subunit ribosomal RNA", at positions 524 to 773 of the family's 1533-position model. The record is from RNAcentral.